UGGGGAAUAUUGGACAAUGGGCGCAAGCCUGAUCCAGCCAUGCCGCGUGAGUGAUGAAGGCCUUAGGGUUGUAAAGCUCUUUUACCCGGGAUGAUAAUGACAGUACCGGGAGAAUAAGCCCCGGCUAACUCCGUGCCAGCAGCCGCGGUAAUACGGAGGGGGCUAGCGUUGUUCGGAAUUACUGGGCGUAAAGCGCACGUAGGCGGCUUUGUAAGUUAGAGGUGAAAGCCCAGGGCUUAACCCUGGAAUUGCCUUUAAGACUGCAUCGCUAGAAUUGUGGAGAGGUAAGUGGAAUUCCGAGUGUAGAGGUGAAAUUCGUAGAUAUUCGGAAGAACACCAGUGGCGAAGGCGACUUACUGGACACAUAUUGACGCUGAGGUGCGAAAGCGUGGGGAGCAAACA
RNAcentral lists this ribosomal RNA (402 nucleotides) under uncultured Sphingomonas sp. RNAcentral's name for it is "bacterial SSU rRNA". It matches the Rfam family "Bacterial small subunit ribosomal RNA", at positions 355 to 774 of the family's 1533-position model. The record is from RNAcentral. Lineage: Bacteria; Pseudomonadati; Pseudomonadota; Alphaproteobacteria; Sphingomonadales; Sphingomonadaceae.